This 506-nucleotide ribosomal RNA is filed under the name uncultured bacterium. RNAcentral's name for it is "partial 16S ribosomal RNA". It matches the Rfam family "Bacterial small subunit ribosomal RNA", at positions 28 to 523 of the family's 1533-position model. The record is from RNAcentral.
GAUGAACGCUAGCUACAGGCUUAACACAUGCAAGUCGAGGGGUAACGAGAGGAAAGCUUGCUUUCCUUGUCGACGGCCGGCGCACGGGUGAGUAACGCGUAUCCAACCUGCCCCCAACUAGGGAAUAACCUUGCGAACGUAAGACUAAUACCCUAUAAUUUCCUCAGAUGUCAUCUGACGAGGAAUAAAGAUUUAUCGGUUGUGGAUGGGGAUGCGUCUGAUUAGCUUGUUGGCGGGGUAACGGCCCACCAAGGGAACGAUCAGUAGGGGUUCUGAGAGGAAGGUCCCCCACAUUGGAACUGAGAUACGGUCCAAACUCCUACGGGAGGCAGCAGUGAGGAAUAUUGGUCAAUGGGCGGAAGCCUGAACCAGCCAAGUAGCGUGCAGGAUGACGGCCCUAUGGGUUGUAAACUGCUUUUAUACAGGAAUAAAGUUAGCCACGUGUGGUUAUUUGUAGGUACUGUAUGAAUAAGGACCGGCUAAUUCCGUGCCAGCCGCCGCAGUAA